UCCGGCCGAAUGUUUGUUAACUGUGUCAGCAUACCACAGAAGAUUCGAAAAUCGUUAUGCUAUCGACGGUGAAGUGUUUUGAUUGUUGUGUUUGAAAGUCAACCAGAUUAAAUAGAUUUCUUAUUAACGAGAUCAGCUAUGCCAGCUGUCAAAAACAAAGCCUGGCAGCAUAUUCUGGCUUUUGCGUUCAAUCAUGGGAUAAGAUUACUCAUUUAAAGCACUUUAUCCAUUCAUCAACUAUCAGUUCGGAUCUGGCAAAGGUGGCUUGUACCUCUGUGUCGUGUGGCCAACAAAAAUUACCACCGUUUCAGCAGUCUUCCUGCCAUUCCUACCUAACCAACCAACACACAUAGACAUUGACCCCAAAACCAUUUUCUUGUGAGCUAGGGCAUUUUCCUUUUCUGUCCCAUGCAAAAAGACUUUCAAGAUUCCGAUCUCUGUGUAUUAACUCUCUCAGGCCAUCUAAAAGUAACGCAAUGACAGCAAAAUGAAAAAAAGUGAUGGAAUGCCGAAUAGUAAAUAAGCAGCGGCCUGUAGGAGAUCAUCGUGGAACAUCGUGCAAAAGGUUGUUACAUGGCCCGUCUUCGCCUCGUGGUCGCGCCGUCUUUGCCUCGCCCGUCGACCCGUCUUCGCCUCGU
This is a long non-coding RNA of Daphnia carinata, 638 nucleotides long. RefSeq lists it as uncharacterized. The record is from RefSeq and is a predicted model, not a curated record. The transcript is spliced from 4 exons. Lineage: Eukaryota; Metazoa; Arthropoda; Branchiopoda; Diplostraca; Daphniidae.